UCUGAUGGUAAAGAAUCCGCCUCCAAUGCGGGAGACCUAGGUUCGAUCCCUAG
RNAcentral lists this transfer RNA (53 nucleotides) under Capra hircus (goat). It matches the Rfam family "tRNA", at positions 10 to 63 of the family's 71-position model. Rfam says of the family: Transfer RNA (tRNA) molecules are approximately 80 nucleotides in length. RNAcentral also lists the same sequence under 1 other name. The record is from Rfam by way of RNAcentral. Lineage: Eukaryota; Metazoa; Chordata; Mammalia; Artiodactyla; Bovidae.